RNAcentral lists this ribosomal RNA (730 nucleotides) under uncultured bacterium. RNAcentral's name for it is "bacterial SSU rRNA". It matches the Rfam family "Bacterial small subunit ribosomal RNA", at positions 771 to 1501 of the family's 1533-position model. The record is from RNAcentral.
AACAGGAUUAGAUACCCUGGUAGUCCACGCCGUAAACGAUGUCGACUUGGAGGUUGUUCCCUUGAGGAGUGGCUUCCGGAGCUAACGCGUUAAGUCGACCGCCUGGGGAGUACGGCCGCAAGGUUAAAACUCAAAUGAAUUGACGGGGGCCCGCACAAGCGGUGGAGCAUGUGGUUUAAUUCGAUGCAACGCGAAGAACCUUACCUACUCUUGACAUCCAGAGAACUUGGCAGAGAUGCCUUGGUGCCUUCGGGAACUCUGAGACAGGUGCUGCAUGGCUGUCGUCAGCUCGUGUUGUGAAAUGUUGGGUUAAGUCCCGCAACGAGCGCAACCCUUAUCCUUUGUUGCCAGCGAUUCGGUCGGGAACUCAAAGGAGACUGCCGGUGAUAAACCGGAGGAAGGUGGGGAUGACGUCAAGUCAUCAUGGCCCUUACGAGUAGGGCUACACACGUGCUACAAUGGCGCAUACAAAGAGAAGCGACCUCGCGAGAGCAAGCGGACCUCAUAAAGUGCGUCGUAGUCCGGAUCGGAGUCUGCAACUCGACUCCGUGAAGUCGGAAUCGCUAGUAAUCGUGGAUCAGAAUGCCACGGUGAAUACGUUCCCGGGCCUUGUACACACCGCCCGUCACACCAUGGGAGUGGGUUGCAAAAGAAGUAGGUAGCUUAACCUUCGGGAGGGCGCUUACCACUUUGUGAUUCAUGACUGGGGUGAAGUCGUAACAAGGUAACC